CAAGUCGAGCGGAUGAAGGGAGCUUGCUCCCUGAUUCAGCGGCGGACGGGUGAGUAAUGCCUAGGAAUCUGCCUGGUAGUGGGGGACAACGUCUCGAAAGGGACGCUAAUACCGCAUACGUCCUACGGGAGAAAGUGGGGGAUCUUCGGACCUCACGCUAUCAGAUGAGCCUAGGUCGGAUUAGCUAGUUGGUGAGGUAAUGGCUCACCAAGGCGACGAUCCGUAACUGGUCUGAGAGGAUGAUCAGUCACACUGGAACUGAGACACGGUCCAGACUCCUACGGGAGGCAGCAGUGGGGAAUAUUGGACAAUGGGCGAAAGCCUGAUCCAGCCAUGCCGCGUGUGUGAAGAAGGUCUUCGGAUUGUAAAGCACUUUAAGUUGGGAGGAAGGGCAUUAACCUAAUACGUUAGUGUUUUGACGUUACCGACAGAAUAAGCACCGGCUAACUCUGUGCCAGCAGCCGCGGUAAUACAGAGGGUGCAAGCGUUAAUCGGAAUUACUGGGCGUAAAGCGCGCGUAGGUGGUUUGUUAAGUUGAAUGUGAAAUCCCCGGGCUCAACCUGGGAACUGCAUCCAAAACUGGCAAGCUAGAGUAGGGCAGAGGGUGGUGGAAUUUCCUGUGUAGCGGUGAAAUGCGUAGAUAUAGGAAGGAGCACCAGUGGCGAAGGCGACCACCUGGGCUCAUACUGACGCUGAGGUGCGAAAGCGUGGGGAGCAAACAGGAUUAGAUACCCUGGUAGUCCACGCCGUAAACGAUGUCAACUAGCCGUUGGAAUCCUUGAGAUUUUAGUGGCGCAGCUAACGCAUUAAGUUGACCGCCUGGGGAGUACGGCCGCAAGGUUAAAACUCAA
This 851-nucleotide ribosomal RNA is filed under the name uncultured Pseudomonas sp. RNAcentral's name for it is "bacterial SSU rRNA". It matches the Rfam family "Bacterial small subunit ribosomal RNA", at positions 58 to 904 of the family's 1533-position model. Lineage: Bacteria; Pseudomonadati; Pseudomonadota; Gammaproteobacteria; Pseudomonadales; Pseudomonadaceae. The record is from RNAcentral.